UUCUCUGAUCAUCAGUGUGUCUGUGCUUCUGCUUCUGAUCAUCAGUGUGAUUCUGUUAGUGAUCGUGACUCUCUGGAGGAGGCGUCAGUCACACAAUGCUGAUUCCUCAUCCAAAAGAUCUCACUCGACACCAGAAAACAGUGCAGCGGUUUCCCACGCUGGCUGCGAUUACAAGGAGAUUAAAGACGCCCACAAACAAUUACCCACAAACCCCUCUGAUUCUUCUGAACCCACUGGUGACUCUCAGAUAUCUGCUGCGGAUCUGAAUUACGCCGUGGUGAAUUUCCACAAGAAAGCGGACUGUCCUGACAGAGUCAGUUUGAGGAAUAAUCAGGAUUGCAGUGAAUACGCUGCUAUCAAUCAUCUCACUGCCUGACGAGCCAAAGCAGAGAAUGUGUGUCAUAAAUUAAUUUAAAGAUAUGGAUCAUUCACAAUGUACAAAACUAACAUUGAGCACCAAAUGAGACACGGACUGUGUAAACAUUUAAUAUUUAGCAUAUGCAGACUGAU
Molecule: long non-coding RNA, 510 nt
Organism: Sinocyclocheilus grahami
Lineage: Eukaryota; Metazoa; Chordata; Actinopteri; Cypriniformes; Cyprinidae
Exons: 3
Source: RefSeq, a predicted model, not a curated record